Molecule: transfer RNA, 72 nt
Filed under: Sus scrofa (pig)
Lineage: Eukaryota; Metazoa; Chordata; Mammalia; Artiodactyla; Suidae
Rfam family: tRNA
About the family: Transfer RNA (tRNA) molecules are approximately 80 nucleotides in length. Their secondary structure includes four short double-helical elements and three loops (D, anti-codon, and T loops).
Source: Rfam by way of RNAcentral
UCCCUGGUAGUCUAGUUGUUAAGAUUCAGUGCUUUCACCACUGUGGCCAGGGUUCGAUCCCUCGUCUGGUGA